Molecule: unclassified non-coding RNA, 253 nt
Filed under: Hevea brasiliensis (rubber tree)
Lineage: Eukaryota; Viridiplantae; Streptophyta; Magnoliopsida; Malpighiales; Euphorbiaceae
Source: RNAcentral
UGUUGUUGCAACACUGGGAGGAGAACAUGGUGCUGCUAGAAAACCUGACAAGUGGCGUUAUCUGCAUGCAGGAUUUACCGUUUGGUUGUCUGAGUCUGAGGCUGCAGAUGAAGCUUCCGCAAAAGACGAAGCUCGAGUGGACAUCCAAGACGGAACAUUAGCUUAUUCAAAUGCGGAAGUGGUUGUGAAGUUAGGUGGUUGGGAUGAUGGCGGAGCUCAACCUGCUGCCGAGGCUUGUUUGAGUGCACUAAAG